AUCACCUGGGGAUCUUGUUACAACGCAGAUUCUGAUCCAUAGGUCUGGAGAGGAGCCUUAGAAUCUGCAUUUCUAACAAGCUAUCAGGUGAUGUUGA
RNAcentral lists this microRNA precursor (97 nucleotides) under Myotis brandtii (Brandt's bat). RNAcentral's name for it is "mir-544 microRNA precursor family". It matches the Rfam family "mir-544 microRNA precursor family". Lineage: Eukaryota; Metazoa; Chordata; Mammalia; Chiroptera; Vespertilionidae. The record is from Rfam by way of RNAcentral.